UCAGAGGCUGGGAUGAAUUCAUUUGCUGUGACAAGCAGCAGGUGCUCUGUGUGCUGGCCCUAUCUGAAAGAUGUACAGUGAGGCUGUAUGUUGUAUUCUUAAUAUUUUUCUGAUAAGAGUUAUCCUAUUUUAGUUUAGCUGUGAUGUUCCUGAAAAAUUAAAUUUCAAAGGCACUUACUUGUGCAGAUGGUACCACAGAAGCUGUAUAUGUGUGGCUCUAUUUGAGCACCUGUGAAAGACGGAGAUUUUAUGGAAUGAAGAAAAGAAAUUUCUGGCAGAUGCGACUAUGGAUUCAAUUACCAGAAUGUGAAAUUUCUAUCAGGUGCAGCUGUUUCUCUUUCUUCUAUUCUUAUCAUCAUUACAGCGUCCUCCAUUUUAAGAGACAUGAAGUACACGCUCCCUACAUACUAAAACAAAAACAACAGUCUCUCCCCUUUCCCCAGCACCUCUCUAUGACAAGAAGAUAAGAAUGAUUCAGUUUCUUGUUCAUUCUCUUCCACAGAUCUGUUGUUUAACAGGAUUUGAGAAAUUCCAUCAGGCACCCUUAACAAGUGAAGGAUUCAGACUCUUUUCCAUUGGUAGCUAUAGUUUCUAAUGCAAUCAAUAUUUUAGUUCCCAAAAAUAGAUAUACAAACUAUGGUUGUUAUUUUCUUUGCCCUCAUAAAACACAUGCAUAAUAUUGGAAUACUCGUAUUUCUUUGUUUGCAAUAUAUAUAGAAAUAGAUAAUGUCUACAACUUUUCUUAUAAAUGUUUUGCUUUAAUAUUUGCACUUCUGCAUGAAAAUAUAUUUUGCCCUAAUAAAUCUGAAUAUGCUUCUGUUUCUGUUGUUACAAAGUCCAGAGUAAGAGAAGAAUGGGAAUUAUGGGAAUUAAAUACACUCAUUGUUUGGGCAGCUAGGAAUUGCACCACUGCAAAUGUGCCCAGGGUGUGCUAUCAUGAUAAUGUGUCCUAUAGCAUCCUCAGAGACCCUUUAGCAUCCUCAGCAGCAGGUGUCUUAUAAGGGUGGUAGAUACACAUUGUUGGUUUGAGGUGAAUGUUUUACAGAGCAGAAUACGACAUGCCUUUUUUUUUUUUUUUUUUUUUUUUCAGUGUCCUUGAGUCUGUCUUCUGUAGCUCUGCCUAGUCACAGGGACCCUUGGUGAAUAUUGCUUCUCAUUUCAUUCAGACCACCAGACAGCUCUGAAAGGGAAGACACUGUGUUAAAGUGUUUAUUAUUUUCUUUGAUUUUCAUCAGGUUUUACCAUCUAUUGUGGGUGAAUUGAACAAAGUUGUAUUAAGCUUGGACUAGUACGGUAGUUAGAGGUUUCUCUAAGAAACAUUGCUAAGAAUAGUACACAAAAAACAAUGAUUUCUUGUAUCUAUUUUCAGGUGAACAUUUAUAUUAAAGUUAAAAAAAAACCAUCUAUUUACAUUUUUCCAAAUAGUUGGCAUUUUUGUGACUAUGUGUAUAUAUAAUUUACCAGCAGACAACAUUAGAAAUACACUUUAUAGUUGUAUUUUCUUUGGUCAGCAUAUAGAGGCAAAACCUCCAGCACUUCUAUAGAUGUUUGUUGCAGUGGAUAGAUAACUCUGAGUUGUUUGUGUGCUCUACUCUGAGCAUUUGCCCCUGGCUGGACCGCUUCAAUACUUACACCUUACACUAUGGUGCUAUGUUACUGUGGAAGGGCUGCAUGAAAUUAUGCAUGAGGCUCUUCUAAAGAAUGAGGAAUGCUAGAGAUGGCUGUUCUUAGCACAGCAAAUAUCACUUGGAGUUGCCAAAAUACACAUAAAUCCUAUUAAAAAAAAUAUCCAAAUUGGCUGAUAUAUUGAAUUCUGUAACAUAGACUGAAAACUGCUAGAGAAAAGUAAACAAAGAAUAAUAAAAUUAAAUAGCAGUACAUGAAGACACAAAGGUGGAAGGCAAGAGAGAGAUUGUCUGAAGCCGGUGUUGAUAGUCUCAUGCUCUUCUGAUUGCUCCAUUAAUGAUAAAUGAAGAAGUAUACAAAUGUGAGAGUAGAGUGGAGUUGUAUAUCACUCUAAACUGGAAGGCAGAAAGAGAAUGCAGUUUAAAUAGGAAAAAAAGCAGGACAGCCUAUUUUGAAAAAAAAAAAAUGACGUGAAGGACAGGGAUUAGGUUGGAUGAUUGUAUGGUGAAAGAAGGUAGAAAGAAGACGACAGUACUUUCUAAUAGCAUACAAGCACCAUGGAGCAAUAGCAAGUAAAAAAGGGUAAUAUUGCUUCCACCUGAACUCCCUGGGUUAGCUACGCCUUCCCACCUGGUGCUCAACCAUUUGUUUAGGCUGUGACCUGGCAAUUCUACUGCUAUGAUGUUACUUCAAAAAUGUAAACUUAAAUAUCUGGGUUUUCAGAAGUAAACAUAGAAAUGUUUCUAAGUAUUAAACACAGUAAGGAGGAGGAAAAAAAUAGAGGCAGGUUUCUGAUAAAUCUGUGACCGAUUUUAAGCAUAUAGAGAAACAACACAUCACCAGACAAGUGAUGGUGGUACCUGUCUUCACUGCUUUGGUGAAAAUGUGCCUGAGGUACUCUGUCAUUGUUUCAUUCUGGAAAAUGACAAAUGAUAAAUACUCUUACUAAAAAUGAUUAAAUAUCUAUGAGAAAUGUGGUAAUGGUUAAGAAAAUCAACCAACAACAACGAAAGAAAACAGAUGAAAGGCCUUACACAUACAUAAUGAAAAGUUGGUAGUAUAGCUAGAAACUAUCGAACUAUUGAAGUUCGAAGAAACUAAUGAAAAAUCGUUUCUUAGAUUUGAUUUCUAAUCCGUGAUCUCUUGACAGUCUUCAGGGCUCACAGUUUCAGAGAUUACCAUCCCAUGCUGUCCAGUAUUGUUCCUUCUCCAUGUUUUCUCUUCUGCAGAGUGGGCAUCUGCAGGUCUUGACAGCUGCCUGAUCUGAGAUAGGCAGUGCCAUAGUGGACAAAACUGGCUUUUCAAAACCUGGGUUAGGUUUCUCACAGAUAGCAUUUCUCCAAAAAAGGGACAGAGAUGAAAAAAAUUAUUUGCAUAAACCCUGGUGUGCUUUGUGAAUGUAAUUUGAGCUCUUCCCAUCUAAAAACAAUGGAUAAAACUGGAGAAGACAGUAGAAAAGGGAAGUAGCCAUGGCUCAAAUUGUGGAAUGAUAACAGGUAAAUGAAAAAUGAGAAUAUGAUUUUCCUGCUCAAAUAAGAGGCAGACAGAGGAGAGUUAUAACUGAGAUGUCUAGAAUCUGAAGGGCUGUCAAGAAACCGGUUAGCCUUGGAACUCAGUACUUUUAUUUAGUUAUUUUAAAAAUGGGAAGUGAUCAAAUAAGAUGGCAAAUGGUACUACUACUUGGUUUGGGCUUCACACUAAGUGAAUUUUAAGUUUUCACUAUGUAAAAAAUGUUUGUUUAAAAAUAAGCUUGAAAUAUCUUUCUUGAUGGAGUCAAAGACAAGAACUGAAAAGAGGAUCUGGACAAAUAUGUGAAGGAAGUUUCUGUGGAGACAAAUAUAUAAUAUAUAUUUUUAUAUAAUUAAACAGUUUGGAUCAGAAAUUCCCCAACUCGCAAAAUCUCUCAAGCUGAAAGAAACUUGGGGACGUGGGACAGUUCUUAAUCUCUCCUGUAGGCACCUAUUGGUAUCAGCAGUAAACUACUGCAUGGAAAGGGCACUUGGUCUCUCCAGCAUGGAUAUGUUUGUAGUUUUAAUGCUGGUGUUUGAUAGAGUUCAAGAGGCUGUGAAGUGUCUUCAGCUUUCAUUAAUUAGAAAAGAAAGAGAGGUAGUGUAUUAUUUUACUGAUACAAUGCAGCUAUGUUAAAAUUUUUCUUGAAUUCUCAAGAUGGCACAAUACUCUUUAUUACCUUCUGCCUUAAACUGUGAUAUUGGCUGGCCACAUAGUGCAUUCAGUCCUGAGGAUGGCUGCAUUCAGUGUGAGAUGAGUAUAUAUUCUACUACAUUAAAUUUGUAAAAGAUUUUGAGAUUCUCUGAGAUGAAAUGAGCUAUAUAAAUGCAAGCUGGUAGUAUGUUUACAAAAUGUCUGUGACUGAAAAGGUCGAUCUUCCAGAAAAAUGCCAGUAAAAAUAACCAGUUCAUUAUUUCUGGAGGUUGAGAGUAAGAAGGGGGUAGGAAAAUAAACCCAGAGGACUGGAUAAAAGUGAUCUGUUUUGGUGUCUUUUCUCUCCUGAAAGAAAAUGAUGUAUUCUAGCUAAUAUCAAAUAAUUCCUUGAAUUUGGCCUUUCAUAGUGCAUGUACUCUAUUAUACUUAUGUAUAAUAAUCUGUGUUUCUAUAGGUAGAAAUAUUGUAACAGUUGUACAAAUAUGAGAUAUAUUUCAAUAAAUCUGUGAUUAACUGUUUAAAAGCAUUUUCAAUUUUUAGGAAGUAUUAUUUAAUAAUAGAAAAAAUCUGCCUAGAUGCUGAUAUGCUAUUAGUUGCCAAGUAUGUAGCUUCUUUUAGCACUAAUAAGAAACCUGCCCAUUUUCUCUGUAGAAUCUGAGAGUGUGUUCUCUUGUGAAAUUCUUGCAGCGUACUGUGUACAAGGAGCUAGGAGGGGAUGUAACCAGGACAGCUGGCCCAAACUGGUCAAAGAGAUAUCCAAUACCGCACGGCAUUGUGUUCAGCAAUAAAAGCUGGGACAAGGAAAGAGGAAGGGAUGAACUGUUGGAGUUGAUGGCAUUUGUCUUCACAGGUAACCCUUAGUGCUAUGGACAGUGGGAUUGAGUGCACCCUCAGCAAGUUUGUGAAUGACACCAAGCUGUGUGGUGUUGUCAACAUGCCUGAGGGACAGAAUGCCAUCCAGAGAGAUCCAGACAGGCUUGAGCGGUGGGCCCAAGUAAGCCUCAUGAGAUUCAACAAAUCCGAAUGCAAGGUCUUGCACCUGGAUUGUGGCGACAUCCACUACCGUACAAGGAGCUGGGACCAUCCCUUAAAGCUUAUAGGAAGAUGGAGCUAUUCUUCCUGCUGGGAUUAUUCUCAAGAGGGAGAUGUCCAACAACAAGAACACUGUCAUUGCUCCUGCAUCUUCCUGAACAUGCUGCUGCCAAGCUAGCCCAGGUCCCAGAGCAACACAGGGAGCACUAUUUCUGUAGGAGCAUCUGUCUGAGGAUGUGAAGUGAAUUUGGACAGUAGAGCUCAAAGACAUUGGAAGACAAAGAUGAGCCCUCUAGAACUCAUCACAGCAGGAUUUGAUGAACAAUGUGGUAAAAGCAACUGUAAAAUCUAAGGCUUUUAGUCAAGUAGUUUUUGGUGUUGGUAGACCUGAAGUACUUAGCCUUCAAUCUUCAGGCUGGCCUUGUGCUUGUGAAAUUACUCAAAACAUAAUUUGUCUUAACUUUUAGGAAAAAGACUUGUUCUUACCUAAUCCUUAUUAGAAAAUAUUUAUCAUGAGUGAAAUUGUCAUAGAGAAGAAAAAGCCAAAUGGUAAUUCUUAAUAAAAUGAAUGUAUGAAAACAGUUCAGUCAAUCUUUGCUGUAAGUUGGAGUGUGCUGUAAAGGGAAGGUGGCCUCUGGCAGGAGCUGUCUUUCAUCAGAACUUUAUGCACAUUUGGGAUUUUCAGCAUUUCAUCAGUGGGAAUCCUUAGGAGGCACUGAGCAAGAAGAUACAGGAAGAUCUAUUUUGAUUUCCCUAGGAAAAAUGCUGCUUUUGGAAGCCAAUUACCAAGGCCUCCAAUAUAUGUGGUGCUCUUCAUGACUCCAGACUGCCAGGAGACAGCCUAUAUUUGCAGCUCUGCAGCUAUGGGGAGGAACACUUUCCCAGCAUCUCUCUUGAAUGUAAAGGAGAUGAUCAUAAUUUAAGUUGCAUAAAUGGACAGCUGAAGUUAUUGCUAUUAUUUCAGCUAAUUUCUUCCAGUGACUUGGAAUAAAAACUUCUUCCUCUUAACUGGAAGAAACAUGAAUGGAAAUUAUGCUUAUUCCUUUGUGGUAACGGCUACAGAGGCCCUUCAAGAAGCAGCAGCAGUAGGAAUAAAAGAGAUUUUAUAAUAAAUACCCUGACUGCAAAACAAAUGUUUGCACCAUUCGGCUCUUAACACUAUGAACUCAGAUUUGCUAGAAAUGACUGGCAGUUUCUGUUAAAGACACUGCUUUUACCAGAUACUUUUUUGAGGACUGAUCUAUUACAAGUAAUUCUGUACCAAUGAAUUACCUGUGGUCUUUAUCAGUGAAAAAUACCAAGACUUAGAGUCUACAUAUACUGCACAUGCAUCUGUGUCAUCAACAAACUGUUCUGGAGGUAUGCAUCAAUGUAUAAAAUGUAAGAGUAGAUGUUAUUUGAAUAAAAGGGACCACUCUAUAUGUGGGGACUUGGAGUGAUUUUGUUACUUGGUUUUUUUUUGUUGUUUGUUUGUUUUGGUUUUUUUGUUUGUUUAUUUGCUUUUGACAGUGCAGUUGUUUGACCAGAAAUAGAAAUACCUAGAAGAGAAAUGCCAACUGGGCAUACCUGAGGAAGGGGUGUAACCACAGCCUCAUUAAUAACACACCACACAUUUAAAAGGAUGCAUUGCAGAUGCUCUGCAAACAACGGUGAUAACAUCCAACAAGUCCAGCCUGAUGUCUUCUUAGAAACAAACUGCCACCAGGAAUAUUACAUGUAUAGUAGCCUUCCAAAGAACAAUUGCUACAAAGAUCUGCUGCACAGUCUGAAAUGAAAGUAGAAGAUGGAAUAUCUAAU
Molecule: long non-coding RNA, 6618 nt
Organism: Gallus gallus (chicken)
Lineage: Eukaryota; Metazoa; Chordata; Aves; Galliformes; Phasianidae
Exons: 6
Source: RefSeq, a predicted model, not a curated record